This 506-nucleotide ribosomal RNA is filed under the name uncultured bacterium. RNAcentral describes it as "partial 16S ribosomal RNA". It matches the Rfam family "Bacterial small subunit ribosomal RNA", at positions 30 to 523 of the family's 1533-position model. The record is from RNAcentral.
AUUGAACGCUGGCGGCAGGCUUAACACAUGCAAAUCGAGCGGUAACAGAGAGAAGCUUGCUUCUCUGCUGACGAGCGGCGGACGGGUGAGUAAUGCCUAGGAAUCUGCCUAGUAGUGGGGGAUAACUUGCCGAAAGGUAAGCUAAUACCGCAUACGUCCUACGGGAGAAAGGAGGGGACCUUCGGGCCUUUCGCUAUUAGAUGAGCCUAGGUCGGAUUCGUUAGUUGGUGAGGGAAUGGCUCACCAAGACCGCGAUCCGUAACUUGUCUGAGAGGAUGAUCAGUCACACUGGAACUGAGACACGGUCCAGACUCCUACGGGAGGCAGCAGUGGGGAAUAUUGGACAAUGGGGGGAACCCUGAUCCAGCCAUGCCGCGUGUGUGAAGAAGGUCUUAGGAUUGUAAAGCACUUUAAGUUGGGAGGAAGAGCAGUUAACUAAUAUUUGACUGUUUUGACGUUACCGACAGAAUAAGCACCGGCUAACUUCGUGCCAGCCGCCGCCGUAA